UACGUAGGGUGCGAGCGUUGUCCGGAAUUAUUGGGCGUAAAGGGCUCGUAGGCGGUUUGUCGCGUCGGGAGUGAAAACCAGGUGCUUAACACCUGGCUUGCUUUCGAUACGGGCAGACUAGAGGUAUGCAGGGGAGAACGGAAUUCCUGGUGUAGCGGUGAAAUGCGCAGAUAUCAGGAGGAACACCGGUGGCGAAGGCGGUUCUCUGGGCAUGACCUGACGCUGAGGAGCGAAAGUGUGGGGAGCGAAC
RNAcentral lists this ribosomal RNA (250 nucleotides) under uncultured bacterium. Its description in RNAcentral is "partial 16S ribosomal RNA". It matches the Rfam family "Bacterial small subunit ribosomal RNA", at positions 524 to 773 of the family's 1533-position model. The record is from RNAcentral.